RNAcentral lists this ribosomal RNA (460 nucleotides) under uncultured bacterium. RNAcentral's name for it is "partial 16S ribosomal RNA". It matches the Rfam family "Bacterial small subunit ribosomal RNA", at positions 338 to 795 of the family's 1533-position model. The record is from RNAcentral.
CCUACGGGAGGCAGCAGUGAGGAAUAUUGGUCAAUGGGCGUAAGACUGAACCAGCCAAGCCGCGUGAGGGAUGAAGGUUCUAUGGAUCGUAAACCUCUUUUAUCAGGGAACAAAGAGUGGGACGUGUCCUGUUUUGUAUGUACCUUAUGAAUAAGGAUCGGCUAACUCCGUGCCAGCAGCCGCGGUAAUACGGAGGAUCCGAGCGUUAUCCGGAUUUAUUGGGUUUAAAGGGUGCGUAGGCGGCCCUUUAAGUCAGCGGUGAAAGGCCGGGGCUCAACCCUAGAAUUGCCGUUGAAACUGGGAGUCUUGAGUAGGAUUGAGGCAUGCGGAAUGCGUGGUGUAGCGGUGAAAUGCUUAGAUAUCACGCAGAACCCCGAUUGCGAAGGCAGCCUGCCAAGCCAUGACUGACGCUGAUGCACGAAAGCGUGGGUAUCAAACAGGAUUAGAUACCCGUGUAGUC